GAAAUGCGAUAAGUAAUGUGAAUUGCAGAAUUCAGUGAAUCAUCGAAUCUUUGAACGCACCUUGCGCUCCUUGGUAUUCGAGGAGCAUGCCUGUUUGAGUGUCAUGGAAUUCUCAACUCUAUUUGCUUUUGUGAAUAGAGCUUGGAUUUGGAGGUUUAUUGCUGGUACUUGUGAUCGGCUCCUCUUGAAUGCAUUAGCUCGAACCUUUGCGGAUCAGCUAUCGGUGUGAUAAUUGUCUACGCCGUUGCAGUGAAGCAUAUCAAUGGGCUCGGCUUCCAAUCGUCCUUUACUGGACAAUGACUUUGACCUUUGACCUCAAAUCAGGUAGGAUUACCCGCUGAACUUAAGC
This 349-nucleotide unclassified non-coding RNA is filed under the name plant metagenome. RNAcentral's name for it is "partial contains 5.8S ribosomal RNA, internal transcribed spacer 2, and large subunit ribosomal RNA". The stretch from base 1 to 104 matches the Rfam family "5.8S ribosomal RNA", at positions 50 to 154 of the family's 154-position model. The record is from RNAcentral.